UCAGUUCAGACUGCAGGCUGCAACUCGCCUGCACGAAGUCGGAAUUGCUAGUAAUCGUAGGUCAGCAUACUACGGUGAAUACGGUUCCCGGGCCUUGUACACACCGCCCGUCAAACCAUGAGAGUUGGCAACACCCGAAGUCGGUAGUCUAACCGCAAGGAGGACGCCGCCGAAGGUGGGGUUGAUGAUUAGGGUUAAGUCGUAACAAGGUACC
RNAcentral lists this ribosomal RNA (214 nucleotides) under uncultured bacterium. RNAcentral describes it as "partial 16S ribosomal RNA". It matches the Rfam family "Bacterial small subunit ribosomal RNA", at positions 1288 to 1500 of the family's 1533-position model. The record is from RNAcentral.